Molecule: unclassified non-coding RNA, 1233 nt
Filed under: Hevea brasiliensis (rubber tree)
Lineage: Eukaryota; Viridiplantae; Streptophyta; Magnoliopsida; Malpighiales; Euphorbiaceae
Source: RNAcentral
AAAAAAAAAAACAGCCACUGAUACCUAUAAAGGAAAGCACGGCUUCAUCUACCACAUGAAGUCGGCCAUCCACUCUGCAAAAUAAAUCUAGUGAAAACAAAUAAAAAGGCAAAAAAGAAAUCCAUGAUGCCAAAUAAAGUUAAUUCCAAGGCUCCUGAGUGAAAGUAGACGGCUAAUGCUUCAUUUUAUUAAGAAUAGUAGGUCUAAAUUCUCUUAUAAUAAUCUAAUAAGUCCAUCAAAAGCAGAUUCUGAUAUUAUCUAGAACAAAUCCAGGUACAAAGAUCCAAAAGCCUUUACCAACUCUAACUCCCAUACCAUGAAUAAUCUAAUAGGAAAUACUGACCCCUGGCCACCAUGCUAACACUUAAAAAAGCAAAAGAAAGAAAUUAACCCUCCACCAUAUUUCUGGAAAGCAGUAGGCUAGUAACAGUAACCUUGUGUCUCAUAUGUACACUUAUUGUUAGUUAAUAAAUUGUUUUAUUAUUGAAAGAUGAACUCUUGAACCACUUCGCUUCAACAAAUAAAAUUUUUAAAGUUCCCAACCAAACCUCACACGUCAUUAUCUUCUUUCUUAAAUAAUGAAAUAAAUAAAAAGUAAAUAAAUAAUCACUCACAAGGAUUCUUCCUGGUAACGGAAAUGUAUUCUUGUUAGUUAAACCACACAAUUAAUAAUUAAAAUACAUACAGAAAAUAUUAACUUGAAAAUACAUAAACUCGUUACAAACAGCAAAUAGUAUCUACAUGGGCAAAGGACAGUGAAUGCUAUUGGACAAGUCCAAAGAGGUGUUCUUCCUAUGUUCAAAACAUGUAAUGAGUUGAUCUUCACCAAAACCCAGCUAGCUUUUUUAUUAAGAUUAAGUACUGCAAGAAAUUUUCAAUGAAAGAAAUUCUCGAAAACUAAGAAGCGGCCAAAAGUGAAUAGCCUAUCUACUAACAAAGAGCAGGCACAGGAUCUUGAAAAACACCACACGCAUUUGACACCAGCGCCCCCAACCCCACACUCCAAAAUUAAAAAUCACAGUGGAAAGGCAAAACGGGAAAAUCAAGAACAGAUUUUAAGGCAUCUCAGUGUCUAACUAAAGUUAAACAGGAAUAAAGGGUUUUCAUUUCCACUAAUAAUUAAGCUAUAAAAGAGUACAGUUAUAAAAACAAGAACCACCAAAGAAUUGAUGAAAGAAGAAUGAUCUCAAAGGAUCAUAGAAGGCGAAAAUAACCAACUUUUGGGAAAUACGG